Molecule: ribosomal RNA, 1800 nt
Organism: Drosophila sechellia
Lineage: Eukaryota; Metazoa; Arthropoda; Insecta; Diptera; Drosophilidae
Rfam family: Eukaryotic large subunit ribosomal RNA
Source: Rfam
UUGACGAAGGGAUACGGUUCCAAUUCCGUAACCUGUUGAGUAUCCGUUUGUUAUUAAAUAUGGGCCUCGUGCUCAUCCUGGCAACAGGAACGACCAUAAAGAAGCCGUCGAGAGAUAUCGGAAGAGUUUUCUUUUCUGUUUUAUAGCCGUACUACCAUGGAAGUCUUUCGCAGAGAGAUAUGGUAGAUGGGCUAGAAGAGCAUGACAUAUACUGUUGUGUCGAUAUUUUCUCCUCGGACCUUGAAAAUUUAUGGUGGGGACACGCAAACUUCUCAACAGGCCGUACCAAUAUCCGCAGCUGGUCUCCAAGGUGAAGAGUCUCUAGUCGAUAGAAUAAUGUAGGUAAGGGAAGUCGGCAAAUUAGAUCCGUAACUUCGGGAUAAGGAUUGGCUCUGAAGAUUGAGAUAGUCGGGCUUGAUUGGGAAACAAUAACAUGGUUUAUGUGCUCGUUCUGGGUAAAUAGAGUUUCUAGCAUUUAUGUUAGUUACUUGUUCCCCGGAUAGUUUAGUUACGUAGCCAAUUGUGGAACUUUCUUGCUAAAAUUUUUAAGAAUACUAUUUGGGUUAAACCAAUUAGUUCUUAUCAAUUAUAACGAUUAUCAAUUAACAAUCAAUUCAGAACUGGCACGGACUUGGGGAAUCCGACUGUCUAAUUAAAACAAAGCAUUGUGAUGGCCCUAGCGGGUGUUGACACAAUGUGAUUUCUGCCCAGUGCUCUGAAUGUCAAAGUGAAGAAAUUCAAGUAAGCGCGGGUCAACGGCGGGAGUAACUAUGACUCUCUUAAAGGUAGCCAAAUGCCUCGUCAUCUAAUUUAGUGACGCGCAUGAAUGGAUUAACGAGAUUCCUACUGUCCCCUAUCUAUCUGUCCGUAUUUAUCGUGGUGGCUGUGGUUGAUACCCAUAUCGCGGGUAGAGCCUUCGUGUUCGACGUUUGAGUUACGGUGCUAGUUGCGCAAAACUCGGGUGCUGUGACCCAGAGAUCAGUAGAGAUUUUAGGUAGAUCUCGCUCCUCAGCAAGGGGGAGUGCUUGCCCGGCAAGCAAGUACUCGAAUUGCUACCGGGGUGGUCGCUAUGUACAUAGCUAUAGCUUCCAGUCCGGGACGUUUGUCUGGCGUAUCCAGACUCAUGCACCAUGUUGAUACAUGCACCACUUGUGGGUGUUCAGGGUGUCGUGGUUGUAAUCCCUUCAGUGUGGAACACGCCACGUAAAACAAGUUCGGAGAGGUCCGAAAGUCACUGUCCCUAUCUACUAUCUAGCGAAACCACAGCCAAGGGAACGGGCUUGGAAUAAUUAGCGGGGAAAGAAGACCCUUUUGAGCUUGACUCUAAUCUGGCAGUGUAAGGAGACAUAAGAGGUGUAGAAUAAGUGGGAGAUAUUAGACCUCGGUUUGGUAUCGUCAAUGAAAUACCACUACUCUUAUUGUUUCCUUACUUACUUGAUUAAAUGGAACGUGUAUCAUUUCCUAGCCAUUAUACGGAUAUAUUUAUUAUAUCUUAUGGUAUUGGGUUUUGAUGCAAGCUUCUUGAUCAAAGUAUCACGAGUUUGUUAUAUAAUCGCAAACAAAUUCUUUAAUAAAACGAUGCAUUUAUGUAUUUUUGAUUUGAAAAUUUGGUAUAACUCCAAUUACUCAGGUAUGAUCCAAUUCAAGGACAUUGCCAGGUAGGGAGUUUGACUGGGGCGGUACAUCUCUCAAAUAAUAACGGAGGUGUCCCAAGGCCAGCUCAGUGCGGACAGAAACCACACAUAGAGCAAAAGGGCAAAUGCUGACUUGAUCUCGGUGUUCAGUACACACACCGACGAA